This 485-nucleotide ribosomal RNA is filed under the name uncultured bacterium. RNAcentral describes it as "partial 16S ribosomal RNA". It matches the Rfam family "Bacterial small subunit ribosomal RNA", at positions 28 to 523 of the family's 1533-position model. The record is from RNAcentral.
GACGAACGCUGGCGGCGUGCCUAACACAUGCAAGUCGAGCGGGAUCCAUCCAGUGGCAACACUGGGGAAGAUCUAGCGGCGAACGGGUGAGUAACACGUGAGAAACUUGCCCCGGAGUUCGGGAUAACUCGGGGAAACUCGAGCUAAUACCGAAUGCCCUCUUCUGAUCGCAUGGUCGGAUGAGGAAAGAUUCAUCGCUCCGGGAGAGUCUCGCGGCCUAUCAGCUAGUUGGCGGGGUAACGGCCCACCAAGGCAUCGACGGGUAGCUGGUCUGAGAGGACGAUCAGCCACACUGGGACGGAGACACGGCCCAGACUCCUACGGGAGGCAGCAGUGGGGAAUCUUGCGAAAUGGGCGAAAGCCUGACGCAGCAACGCCGCGUGCGGGAUGAAGGCCUUCGGGUUGUAAACCGCUUUCAGCAGGGAAGAAAUUGACGGUACCUGCAGAAGAAGCCCGGGCCAACUACGUGCCAGCAGCCGCGGUAA